GAGGAUGUAGCUCAGUGGUGGAGCACUUGUCUAGCAUCCAAGAGACCCUGGGUUCAAUCCCAGUACCCCUU
RNAcentral lists this transfer RNA (71 nucleotides) under Heterocephalus glaber (naked mole-rat). It matches the Rfam family "tRNA". Rfam says of the family: Transfer RNA (tRNA) molecules are approximately 80 nucleotides in length. Their secondary structure includes four short double-helical elements and three loops (D, anti-codon, and T loops). The record is from Rfam by way of RNAcentral. Lineage: Eukaryota; Metazoa; Chordata; Mammalia; Rodentia; Bathyergidae.